Molecule: long non-coding RNA, 1544 nt
Filed under: Marmota monax (woodchuck)
Lineage: Eukaryota; Metazoa; Chordata; Mammalia; Rodentia; Sciuridae
Source: RNAcentral
AUUUAAAAAAAAAAAAAAAGAAUCCGUGGGAUUGUGUUGAAGGUAGCCUGCCACACUCAGUUUCCCCAUCCUCCAAUAUCUUCUAUGAGAAAUUCUCUCACCUCUCUUUACCUUUCUCUUUCCUUAACUCUUUUUGUUCUAAUUAGUUACAAUGACAGUACAAUGACCUUGACAUGUCAUACAUUUGAAUCAGAUGGGAUAUAAUAUCUCAUUUUUCUGAGUAUACAGGUUGCAGAAUCACAUUGGUCAUACAUUCACAUAUAUACACACAGUAAUAAUGAUGUCUGUUUCAUUCUACUAUCCUUCCUAUCUCCCCUCCCCUCCCCUCCCCUCCCCUCACUUCUCUACCUAAUCUAGGUUAACACUAUUUUUUCUCACAUCUUCAUACAUGGCAUUUUGUAUAACAAUGAGGGUCUCCUUCCACCAUCCAUGCAAUUCCCUUUCUCCCUCCCUUUCCCUCCCACCCCUCUUCCCUAUGUAGAAGUAAUCAUCUUCCCAUGCUCUUCCUGUCUUCCCCAUUUUGAGUCACACACACACCCCCACACCCCUCCCCCCCCCCCUUAUGUCAGAGAAGACAUUCGGCAUUUGUUUUUUGGGAUUGGCUAACUUCACUUAGCAUAAUCUGCUCUAAUGCCAUCCAUUUCCCUAUCCUUAACUCUUUCUACUACAAAAAUUCUAGUUACAUCCAUUCUUUAAAAAAAAAAAAAAAAAAAGAUAUAGGCUCAGUGUGGUGUUACACACCUAUAAUCCCAGCAGCUGGGGAGGCUGAGACAGGAGGAUCACAAGUUCAAAGCCAGCCCCAGCAAAAGCGAAGCACUAAGCAACUUAGUGAGACUGUCACUAAAUAAAAUAGGGCUGGGGAUAUGGCUCAGUAGUCGAGUGCCCCUGAAUUCAAACCCAAGUAUCAAAAAAAAAAACCCUCCCCCCCCCCAAAUUGAUCAGGAUUUGGUUGCAGAAAACCAAACCUAUUCUAACUAGUUAAACCAGUAAGGCACUUGGUGUAGGGUGCUAACUGCACCACAGAAUUUUUGGAAGAGCUGAAGAAACAAAUGAUGGACUACCAGAAAUUAUUCCUAAGGAUGGCUAAAGGACCUGACACCGCUUCCCUGCAUUAGGAAGCAGCCAGCUCAAGCAGCACACCGUUGUUGCCUCUGUCGGCAUUCUGCUGACAGUGCCCUGCACGCCUUCUUUACUCCUGCUGUCCUCUGAAUUCAAGUGAUAAACUAAUGCAUCUGAUUGAGUUUAAUUGAGAUGUGAUUUAUUUAAACUAGAGGCUAAGGAUGUAGUUCAAGGGUAGAGCACUUACCUAGGAAGUGCAAUGUCCUGGAUUCAGUCCCCAGCACCACAAAAAUAAACAAACUAGCUAGCUACAAGGGAAUGUGGAAAACAUCUUUAGCUUUUCAGUCUCUUCAGUGUAUGCUGAGUAAACCAUAUAUAGAACCCUCCACACUCCCUCUCAAGCAGUUGCUUCUUUCUUCAGUGCCAGGUUUUAUAAAAGAUUCUUGAAAGGCUUGUUUAGGUCGUCCCCACCUACCCACUCCCUG